RNAcentral lists this ribosomal RNA (1198 nucleotides) under metagenome. Its description in RNAcentral is "bacterial SSU rRNA". It matches the Rfam family "Archaeal small subunit ribosomal RNA", at positions 58 to 1244 of the family's 1478-position model. The record is from RNAcentral.
CCGGAACUAUGUCUGGAAGUGGCACACUGCUCAGUAACACGUAGCUAACCUACCCUUAGGACGUGGAUACCCCCGAGAAAUUGGGGUUAAUCCGCGAUAGAUGUAAUGUCCUGGAAUGGUAUUACGUCUAAAGGUAUUUCAUACAUGUUUGAAAUAUGCCUAAGGAUGGGGCUGCGGCCGAUCAGGCUGUUGGUGAGGUAAUGGCUCACCAAACCUUUGACCGGUACGGGCCAUGAGAGUGGUAGCCCGGAGAUGGACACUGAGACAAGGGUCCAGGCCCUAAGGGGCGCAGCAACCGCGAAACCUCCACAAUGCACUCACGUGCGAUGGGGCUAUCUCGAGUGCCACCUGAUGAAGGUGGCUUUUCCUUGGUAUUCAAAGCCUUGGGAAUAAGAGGGGGGCAAGACUGGUGUCAGCCGCCGCGGUAACACCAGCCCCUCGAGUGGUGGGGAUGAUUAUUUGGCCUAAAGCGUCCGUAGCCGGCCGUAUAAGUCUCCCGUUAAAUCCAGCGUCUCAAGCGUUGGACUGCGGGAGAUACUGUACGGCUAGAGAGUGGGAGAGGUCAGCGGUAUUCUGGGGGUAGGGGCGAAAUCCUUUGAUCCCCGGAGGACCACCAGUGGCGAAGGCUGCUGACUAGAACACGUCUGACGGUCAGGGACGAAAGCUGGGGUAGCGAACCGGAUUAGAUACCCGGGUAGUCCCAGCCGUAAACGAUGCAUGCUAGGUGUUGGGUUGGCCACGCGCCACCCCAGUGCCGCAGGGAAGCCGUUAAGCAUGCCGCCUGGGAAGUACGAUCGCAAGAUUGAAACUUAAAGGAAUUGGCGGGGGAGCACCACCAGGCGUGAAGCCUGCGGUUUAAUUGGAGUCAACGCCGGGAACCUUACCGGGAGCGACAGCAGAGUGAAGGCCAGAUUGAAGAUCUUGCCAGACGAGCUGAGAGGAGGUGCAUGGCCGUCGCCAGUUCGUGCCGUGAGGUGUUCUCUUAAGUGAGAUAACGAACGAGACCCGUGCCACAUGUUGCCACCAGUAUCUAAAGGAUAGCUGAGCACUCUUGUGGGACCGCAGCCGAUAAGGCUGAGGAAGGUACGGGCAACGGCAGGUCAGUAUGCCCCGAAUCUCCCGGGCCACACGCGGGCUGCAAUGGUAUAGACAGAGGGCUGCCACCCCGAAAGGGGGAGCCAAUCCCUAAACUGUACCU